Non-coding RNA from Cyanistes caeruleus (blue tit), 536 nucleotides. The record is from RefSeq and is a predicted model, not a curated record. NCBI's taxonomy places the organism in Eukaryota, Metazoa, Chordata, Aves, Passeriformes, Paridae.
UCAUGGAAGGUGUUUUUGUGGGGUGGCAGUUGACUUAGGAAGGUCACAGGGAAGAGGAAAGAGUGGUUGCUAAUGUCUAAUUUAGAUUUUGGUCUUUUUAGAGAGAGGAGGUGUAUGGACUGAUUCAGAUUUCUUCUGAAGGCAAGCAGUGACGAGGAAGUCAGAAGUUAAGAUAGUGAUAUUCCCAGAUAUUCCUCAAACCAGGGUUCAGAGUCUCCUCCUGGUGGGGUCAUGGAUUUAUACCUAUCUGAUGGUUUUGGAUGUGACCAGCAGCUGCAGAUCUCAAGAAGAUAUGUGGUGCAUCUUUUGCAAAGAUCAGUUCCCAAACAUAAGGUUCUGUUUUCCUCUGGCUUCUUCAUUUAUGUUAGACCUGGAACACAAUAUAUCUUUGCAGUUAAUAGAGGAUACAUGAUCCAAGAAAGUUAAAGUAACCCUGGAUUCUGGCAUUCAAGAAACAAAGGCCACCCUUCUACAUGUCCUUCACCUCAAGGGCCUUGAACCUAGAGAUCCUGUAGCAGAAGACCUACCCAAAUCAU